GCGAAUCCGAGAUGUGGCGCUCCGCUGAGGGGAAAGCCUCGCUUGACGAACCAGAAACUCGAGGAGUUUGACUAGAUUGUCGAGGGAGCCAGAGACCAGCUGGUGCUCAUGGGAAGGAGCCCACUUCACAGCAGUGACCCAACCUGUGUGUGACGUCAGAGACAGCAGUACCAACGAACCAUCUGAAAAACACAGACGAGAACAUACAUAUGACACUCUUAGAACAGCUAAAUGGGGGAAGCAAUGGUACCUUUGGUGCGCGGGUCCCAGAGUCUGACGUGUCUGUCGGUGCUACCUGAGGCCAGCCGUCGACACAGCGUCUCUGUGUCCCACACACGGAUGGUGUGAUCCCAGGAUGCACUAUACAACUCCUCGCUGUUGCACCACAGGACAGAGGACACUGCCUCGGUGUGCCCAGAUAAUGUCAUAA
This is a long non-coding RNA of Lampris incognitus (smalleye Pacific opah), 430 nucleotides long. RefSeq lists it as uncharacterized. The record is from RefSeq and is a predicted model, not a curated record. Lineage: Eukaryota; Metazoa; Chordata; Actinopteri; Lampriformes; Lampridae. The transcript is spliced from 4 exons.